GACGAACGCUGGCGGCGUGCUUAACACAUGCAAGUCGAGCGGUAAGGCCCUUCGGGGUACACGAGCGGCGAACGGGUGAGUAACACGUGAGUAAUCUGCCCAUCACUUCGGGAUAACUCCGGGAAACCGGUGCUAAUACCGAAUAUGACCACUUCAGGCAUCUGAUGGUGGUGGAAAGUUCCGGCGGUGAUGGAGGAGCUCGCGGCCUAUCAGCUUGUUGGUGGGGUAGUGGCCUACCAAGGCUUCGACGGGUAGCCGGCCUGGGAGGGUGACCGGCCACACUGGGACUGAGACACGGCCCAGACUCCUACGGGAGGCAGCAGUGGGGAAUAUUGGACAAUGGGCGAAAGCCUGAUCCAGCAACGCCGCGUGAGGGAUGACGGCCUUCGGGUUGUAAACCUCUUUCAGCAGGGACGAAGCGCAAGUGACGGUACCUGCAGAAGAAGCACCGGCCAACUACGUG
Molecule: ribosomal RNA, 463 nt
Filed under: uncultured bacterium
Lineage: Bacteria
Description: partial 16S ribosomal RNA
Rfam family: Bacterial small subunit ribosomal RNA
Source: RNAcentral